AAAGAUCCAACAAUACAUACCAAAGGGACUCUUAAGGUUUUCUCCCCAAAUUUCUUCGACGACGACGACUCUUACAACAGGUUCCAUUACAUGCACAACUCCGAACAGAGUCACUGAAGCUCUACUAUCGCCUGAUAUUAGAUUCUUAUUUGGGGACAUUGUCCCGUCGGUUGGUAGUGCAUGCGAUGUUUGGGGAUGAAACUUUAAGUACCCACGGCUUAUUACGAAAAUGACCAGCGGCUUAAAAAAAAAUAAGGCAAAGACUGUAAAUUUUGUGACCAAGUCUUUAAGCAAAAGGUUACAGAUAUGUUCAUGUUGGAUGGAUAAAACGAACAACAACAUGUCUUUAGACAAAGGCCAUGAGAUUGUUGGAAUGGAAAAAGCGAUAAAAAGGGCUUAAAAUCAAGGGCUUAAAAAGAGGUCUUUGAUGAGACAAUGAUUGUGUGAUACCCACGGCUUAGAAAAAUUUGUAAGACAAUGACGGAAUUGGUCUCUUAUUUGGGAAUGGAUAGUACCCACGGCUUAUUACGAAAGCGACCAACAACAAAUAAAAAAAGAUUUACAUAGCUCAUAAAUUUGUUGGAUGGACUAAACGACCAACGGUUUACAAUAAAGUCUGUAAACAAAGAUUAUGACUGUGUUGGAUGGAUAGUACGAUCAACAAUGAACAAAAUGUCUUUAGACAAAGGUUACAGAUUAUGUUGGAUGGAUAAAACGAUCAACAAUAAACAAAAUGUCUUUAGACAAGAAGAAAAAGUGGUCUUUGAGGCAAAUGAUUGUGAUUACCCACGGCUUAGAUAAAUUCAUGUGAACCUGUUGAAUGGCUAAAGCGAUCAACGGUUUACAAAACGUCUUCAGACAAAGACUGAAAUACCCACACCUUGUGAAGAGUUCUUGGACAAUAUUGCUACCCACGGCUUAAUAAAAGUUGCGUGUUGGAAGGGAACAAACUACCCACGGCUUUGAAAGGUCUUAGACAAAGAUUUUGUAGUUUGGUUUUCUGAGUUUUUCUGCUGUAAAGACGACCAGCGGUUAAACAAGUCUUUAGACAUCAGAGCCAGAGACUACUUAUUUACAUUACCACAAGGCUUGAAAAUCGUUACAAGGAAAAGACCAACGAGUGGAAAGAGUUUAAGACAAAGACUAUCAAAAUAUGCUCCUUACUUCACAACAAGCCUUGGCAAAGAAUUUAGACAAAGACUACGCCUGAAAACGAUCAACGGUUUAGACAAGUCUUUAAGACAAAGACUAUGAACUAAGUCGAUUCUUGGUUUUUGUUGGAUGGUAAAAACGACCAACAACACCAGGUUUUGAGGAUAGGCACUUUGAACCAAACACUGAGCGUAUUGGAUGAUGGUAAAAACGAACAAUGGCAAACCAAUUCUUAGACAUAAACUACGAAACAAAAAAUUGAGUCAGUUCUUGACUUGUUGGAUGAUAAAAACGACCAACAAGCCAGGUUUAAGUCAGAGACUAUGGGGCGAUAAUUGAUUCUUCACUGCACUACUAUCGUGUUAGAAAAUUUGUUUUCAAAGUUGCUGUGAGAAGCGGCUUGAAAAAGUCCUUACUAUGGGAUACAAAAAGACGAUCAAUCUCAUAAAGAAAGUUAUGAAAAAGACUCUGAACAUUAACAUAUUCCUUACUUUACCACUUACAACGUUAAAAACUCACAAGGUAAGUAUGAAUCAUUUUGUGUGAAGUAAAGACUAAUUAAUCGUGAUUUCCUCAGGUUUUGUAUAUAUGUGCUUCAGUAGGAUCGGAGCAAAUUUCAAGUGUAGCAGAUUCUCUGACAGGUAUGUGCUUUUCAAACUUGUUUGUUGUUUAGUUAAUAAUACGAUUUUGAAAAUCACAAGAUUGUGACAUAAACAUGAAGUAAAGCUAUAUUUUCGUUUUUGUGGGUAUGUGCUUCACAAACUGUUCAUAUCCUCCUCACUAAUUCCAAGGAUUUUCAGGUAUAUUCUUUUCCUUACUUUCUUUCUUAUAAAUUGGUAUUAUUACAUUAUUAUAAUUUACAACCGAAGUUAAUUGUAUGUAAAGGUAAUGAAGAUCUUAGCACCGUUUAUAACUAAAAACGUUUGAUUAAGCUGUCUUGACAACAUUUCUCUCAUUGAUCUAGCAUCCUUGAGGUUCUAGAAACUGAUUGCUAACAUAUCCAUUGAUGAACAAGUAGAUUCUUUUUUACUAUUGGAACAGUAUAUUGUGCGUUUACAGUGUUUUGUAAUCUCUAUUUCUUUAGUUUGGUGCUUGAAUGUAUUAUAAGGUUUUUUCUUUUGUUUUUUUGAAAUGGAUGUAUCUUGGAGUCUCUUGUAGAUCAAUGUAGGUGAGAGACUCCUGCAGAUUGUGGUAGUAGUUUCUUUGCACUUUUAAUGUUUCUGAUUUGUGCCAUGCUCUAGCAUGUUGUUGUAGUAGUUUUUAAAAAAAAAAAAAUUAUGAAUGUUUCUGUUUUGUGUUAUGCUCUUAAUCUUAAACGGUGUUAUUUGGUGCUUGCAUGUGUAUUAUAAGGUCUCUCGUUUAUGAAAUGGAUAUAUUUUAGAGUAUUGUUGAUCAACAUAGGUGAGUUGUGAUAGUAGUUUCCUUGAAUGUUUAUGUUUUCUGCUCAUCCUAACCUUCAGUGAUCACUGUUAGUAGUAUUUAUGUUGCUUAGAAAAAUAUUUAUUAAUUUUAGUUAGAUCGGUGCUUGUGUGUCUAUUAUAAUGUCUCUUAUUUUUUCUUUAAAAAAAUGUCUCUUAUUUUUCAUGAAAUAGAUAUAUAUUGGAGUCUCUUGCAAUUGUAAACCAACGUUGGUGAGAGAUUCUUCAAAAUUGUGUUCGUGGUUUCCUUGAAUCUCUAGUGUGUUGUGUUUUGUGCUAUGCUCAUAAUCGACUCUACUACUAAUCUUAAACACACAAAACCCUAAGAUUUAUAAUCGGCUUUGUUUUCUUUGGACACAAGAAACCGAGAAAGAUGAUCUUUUUCCAAAAUCUCAAAACGAAAAGAAUCGUUGUGU
Molecule: long non-coding RNA, 2986 nt
Organism: Brassica napus (rape)
Lineage: Eukaryota; Viridiplantae; Streptophyta; Magnoliopsida; Brassicales; Brassicaceae
Exons: 3
Source: RefSeq, a predicted model, not a curated record